UACGUAGGGUGCAAGCGUUGUCCGGAAUUAUUGGGCGUAAAGAGCUCGUAGGCGGUUUGUUGCGUCGGCUGUGAAAUCCCGAGGCUCAACCUCGGGCCUGCAGUCGAUACGGGCAAACUAGAGUACUGCAGGGGAGACUGGAAUUCCUGGUGUAGCGGUGAAAUGCGCAGAUAUCAGGAGGAACACCGGUGGCGAAGGCGGGUCUCUGGGCAGUAACUGACGCUGAGGAGCGAAAGCGUGGGGAGCGAACAGG
This 253-nucleotide ribosomal RNA is filed under the name uncultured bacterium. RNAcentral's name for it is "partial 16S ribosomal RNA". It matches the Rfam family "Bacterial small subunit ribosomal RNA", at positions 524 to 776 of the family's 1533-position model. The record is from RNAcentral.